Molecule: ribosomal RNA, 252 nt
Filed under: uncultured bacterium
Lineage: Bacteria
Description: partial 16S ribosomal RNA
Rfam family: Bacterial small subunit ribosomal RNA
Source: RNAcentral
UACGGAGGAUGCGAGCGUUAUCCGGAUUUAUUGGGUUUAAAGGGUGCGCAGGCGGGCUGUUAAGCCGGCGGUAAAAAUUCAGGGCUCAACCCUGUCGAGCCGUCGGAACUGCCAAGCUAGAGUGUCGGAGAGGUAAGUGGAAUUCCUAGUGUAGCGGUGAAAUGCGUAGAUAUUAGGAGGAACACCAGUGGCGAAGGCGGCUUACUGGACGAUGACUGACGCUGAGGCUCGAAAGCGUGGGGAGCAAACAGG